CUGUGUUGGUUUCUGUUAUUGACAUCUUAGAUACAUGAGGAGGCUAGAAAGUUCUCCUACCAGACUGGUGGAUCCCCAAUCAAUUAGCAGACACUAGUUGCGAAGGAGGAUAUAAACAAUUGGAUUGAUCGGAGAUUGUCACUGCCAGUUUGUGAGUGCACGACACAGCAUGCUGCAUGCAUUCCACUAUAGGAGCAACAGUGGAAAACAAUGACAAAUGGUUACCUCAGGAAGCUUGCCAUGUUGCACGACACAAAAAAACCCAUCAUAUAGUGAUUUGAGGAGCGCGAAUCCCCAGGAACGGGAACGAGCACUCAGAUCCUUCCAGAGUGGUGCUACUCCAAUUCUAGUUGGUGGUCAUAGUUUUCAUAGUGAUUCCUCUAUCAGGAGCAGUCGAGACGGUGAUUAUUGACCUUGAUAUUAAAUGUCACGAUCCGAGUUUGAUGGACUAACCGACGUAUAACUCCGUUUGAUCUAAAUCAUUGAUUAAAAUAUUUGAACCAGAGUUAUCGU
Long non-coding RNA from Musa acuminata AAA Group (dessert banana), 513 nucleotides. RefSeq lists it as uncharacterized. The transcript is spliced from 3 exons. The record is from RefSeq and is a predicted model, not a curated record. NCBI's taxonomy places the organism in Eukaryota, Viridiplantae, Streptophyta, Magnoliopsida, Zingiberales, Musaceae.